RNAcentral lists this long non-coding RNA (312 nucleotides) under Mytilus galloprovincialis (Mediterranean mussel). The record is from RNAcentral. Lineage: Eukaryota; Metazoa; Mollusca; Bivalvia; Mytilida; Mytilidae.
UAUGUAUAUAAAUGUGUGUGAAAAUUCCUAUACUUGACAAAUAUGUGACAAUGCCGUGAUGUAAAUAGAACAGGAAUUAAAGGCAAAACACCAGCAAGAUGACAUCUCUUACCAAAGAAGAAGACAACUAUUUGAGAAUGGGCUUGUUGAUAACAGGGAUUUCACCACGUGCUGCACGAGUCUUAUUUGAUAGUGAAUUCCAUCAUUCGUGUUUAUAUGCAACGCUGAAGAAAGAAUAUAAGAAACUGAAAGACCUGAAAGACAAGAAUAAAGUUAUAAACUUGCAGCAGUGGAAUUUGUUGUUUUCAAGGC